Long non-coding RNA from Phyllostomus discolor (pale spear-nosed bat), 103 nucleotides. RefSeq lists it as uncharacterized. The transcript has 3 exons. The record is from RefSeq and is a predicted model, not a curated record. NCBI's taxonomy places the organism in Eukaryota, Metazoa, Chordata, Mammalia, Chiroptera, Phyllostomidae.
UCAUGUCCAUGGCAAAUGGGGGACCUGUGUUCUUCAGGACGAAAUUCUCAUCAUCAAAUUUCUUCCUGUAGAUGGACUUGCCACCUAUGCCAUUGUGGUGUGU